AGCGAACGUUUGCGGCGGGCCUAACACAUGCAAGUCGAACGGGCAGGGGCAACCCUGUCAGUGGCGCACGGGUGCGUAACACGUGGGUAAUCAACCCUUUGGACUGGGACAACCCGGGGAAACUCGGGCUAAUACCGGAUGUGGCGUGGCGGUCCUCGGACUGCUCCGCGAAAGCUCCGCAAGGGGCACCAGAGGACGAGCCCGCGUCCCAUCAGCUAGUUGGUGAGGUAAUGGCUCACCAAGGCGAAGACGGGUAGCUGGUCUGAGAGGAUGAUCAGCCACACUGGACUGAGACACGGUCCAGACUCC
RNAcentral lists this ribosomal RNA (309 nucleotides) under uncultured bacterium. RNAcentral's name for it is "bacterial SSU rRNA". It matches the Rfam family "Bacterial small subunit ribosomal RNA", at positions 29 to 339 of the family's 1533-position model. The record is from RNAcentral.